This 596-nucleotide long non-coding RNA is filed under the name Mytilus galloprovincialis (Mediterranean mussel). The record is from RNAcentral. Lineage: Eukaryota; Metazoa; Mollusca; Bivalvia; Mytilida; Mytilidae.
ACAAAUAAUAAUUUUAUGUAUGUUUUACAGUUUUCACUUUGAUGUUUUUGGUACAAAGAAGUAAUUAAACAUUAUAUUUUUGAUAUUUUGUGUUGACAAUCAAAUAUUAAUUCAAUAGAAUGCACUGUAAAAAUAGAACAAGAAAGAAAACUCAAUAUAUUUCAAAAAUCAAAAUGAAUGGAAACUUUUUGACAUGUUACAUGGCAUUAUCUUUUGUGAACAGAGAUAACAAAUACUUACUUAUCUCUUUCAAAAUUAUUGCCAACUUUGAAAUCGCAAAAUUAAUCAAGCCUUUUGUAAAAAAAAAGACUACAGUUGGGGUCUUGAAGAAGAGAAUUUCAAAAUAAAAGUCCAAUGAAAAGUCUAUCAGAUGAAAAUUAUUUCGUUUUACCAACGAAGGAGGAUAUAUGUAUAAAAUUAGCAACUUAAAACUAAUCUUCUUGAAAUAUAUUUUGAUGGGUAUUAAAUUAUUAAUAAGUUAUAGAGUUUGAAAGCCAGUUACCUACAUUUUAGAAUAAUAUGCAGUCAUGAAAAGUUCAAAAAAUUGAUUGAAAAAAAAAAGUUUUGCUGAUAUUUAAUUUGCAUACCAUCCUUAA